UACAGGAAAGAAGCACUGCACUACAAGAAUACGAGCAAGAGGAGAGCAUUGGGACAGUGAAUACUGCAUCAAUCACGAACAACACCGUUUUGUUCAGCAAUUCACCAGUGCUUCAGCAGAGUGGCCUACCUCCUCUAGUCAGUGCAUUGAAAGCCUCAGCUGAAGAAAAUGCUGCCAGCUUUCACUUUCCAGGACACAACAGAGGCCAUGCCGCUCCUUCUUCGUUGACUCAACUCAUUGGAGUAAGACCAUAUGCUCAUGAUUUGUCUAGCAUUCCAGAGCUUGACAACCUCUUUUGUCCCCAAGGGCCCAUAUUAGAAGCACAAAGAGAAGCAUCCAAACUGUUCGGAUCAUCAGAGACAUGGUUUCUUGUCAACGGUACUACUUGUGGAGUCCAGGCAGCAAUAAUGGCAACCUGUUCACCGGGAGAAUAUCUGAUUCUUCCUAGGAAUUCUCAUUUAUCAGCUAUAUCUGCCAUGGUUUUAUCUGGUGCAUCGCCUAAGUACAUUAUUCCUGACUAUAAAAAUGAUUGGGACAUCGCUGGUGGCGUCACUCCAUUACAGGUGAUUCAGAUAUCAUACACUAACAUAUUGUGGCUAAAUUUGCAAUUUUCUUUUUUUUAAUGGCAACAAAUUUGCGAAAAAUUGAUGGUAAAGGAAAUUGGUAUGCUGGCGUAGCAGUUGAUACGUUAUAUAAUUGUAAAAAAUUCAUCCAUAAAGCAAUCUAAAUAGAUUUUCUAAUUCUGACACGGAAGAUGAGUUUCUUAUGAUUUCCUGAUUAAGUGAUUUUUUACUGUCCUCAAAAUUGGUAUUAGAUAUUCUCUUCAGAUUCAACUCUUCUGGUAAUCCUAUUUAAUGUUGUUCUCUCUUUGUUUCUGCUGGUGGAAUCGAUGGUUGUUGUUGCAGGUAUUGAAUGCUAUCCAGGAACUAGAAUUGGAAGGAAAGAAAGCAGCAGCAGUUUUCAUCACUUCACCUACUUACCAUGGUGUUUGCAGUAACUUGAGUGAUAUUUCUGCUUUGUGUCAUUCUCGUAAAAUUCCUUUGAUUGUUGAUGAAGCUCAUGGAGCACAUCUAGGAUUACAUUCUGAACUGCCUAGCUCAGCCCUCCAGCAAGGGGCUGAUCUAACUGUACAAUCUACUCACAAGGUUCUUUCCUCUCUUACUCAAUCGUCUAUGCUGCACAUGUCGGGCGACAUUGUAGAUAAGGAAAAAAUAUCUAGGUGUCUCCAAACACUGCAAAGCACAAGUCCUAGUUACCUUCUUUUGGCAUCCCUAGAUGCUGCUAGAGCUCAACUUAGUGAAAGCCCUGCUAUUGUAUUUAAACAAGCGAUUGAAUUAGCAAAUGAAGCAAAGUUUUUGCUAAAACGAAUCCCUGGCGUCUCAGUGCUUGAGAAUUCAAGCUUUCCAAAUUUUCCCGCAUUUGAUCCAUUCCGGCUUACUGUAGGCUUUUGGGAGCUUGGUUUAUCAGGUUACCAAGCAAAUGAAAUCUUAUGCAGGGAUUUUGGAAUCGUCCGUGAGCUUGUUGGGUAUAAAUCUAUCACUUAUGUACUUAAUCUUGGAACUUGUAGAGACCAUGUCCAAAGGCUUUUAUUGGGAGCAAAGCAUCUAGCUGCAGUAUAUUCUUCCAUUCAGCAACGUAAAGACAAAGUACUUACUGAUCAUGCACCCUUUGAUGAUAUAAUCAUGAGCUUGACACCUAGAGAUGCAUUCUUUGCAAGUAAAAGAAAAGUAAUGGUGAAAGAGAGCAUUGGUAAGGUUUCGGGGGAGCUUAUAUGUCCAUACCCUCCAGGCAUACCGGUAUUGAUCCCAGGCGAGGUUAUUACUGAGAAAGCAGUCGAUUAUCUACUCCAUGUAAGAAGUGAAGGUGCUGAUAUUAGUGGAGCAUCUGAUCCCUUACUUUCCUCGAUAGUUGUCUGCAAUGUAUAGUAAACAGCUGGUGACAGUUAUUACUAAUUAGAUAUAACAGUUAGCUAAAUCAGUUAGUUAUAGUAUAAUUAUACUAAUUACUUGUUCUUGUUUUUGGCUAUAGAAACCUUAUGUACUCCUUGAUGUAGUUUAUAUUAUCAAUAUAAUUUUUCAAUUUACUUUUCUCUUAUCAAUUAUAAAAAACACGUUGUAGCUAUAUAACACGAACACUUAAGAUUGAAUGCAAACAACCAUAUCCUACACGUGUCUAGUCAUUCAAUACUUCUAUUUUUUCAAAUCAUGACAAUUGAGUCAAACGUUUUCAGAUGGAACUAGAUACGGCCAAUUACAAACAGGUAACACAUCUAUUCAAGAAUAUUAUUCUGGUUUUUUGAAUUUAUGGACAUACCACUUUGGUAUUAUACAUGUUCUUGUUCCCAAGACUUUUUUUUGCGGCUGCCCAAAAGGUCUACAAUACUAGUAGGCGGGACCAAUUUCUCAUGAAGUUUCACCAUGAAUUUGAGGUUGUUAGAGUUGCUUUGUUGAAUAUGAACUAUGUUCCUUCUUUGGAUAUUUGUGUUGGCGAACUUUCUAAGGAGCAACAAUGCCUCCUUACUCCAAGAAUAUAUCACAUGAUGUUGCCAUUUAUGAGUUUGUGACAGUUGCAUACGGCGCUUAGAGUAGAGGUAAAAGUUGUGUCAUAUGCGACAUGUCCAAUGCGACAUGUGAUAUGCUGGUUGUCUUGUGAAAGAGAAAAUGCACGGGAAGGUGAUCAUGAAAGGGCCUAAAGUGGGGCGAUUGUUACAGAUCCAGUUUAUUUUCGGUCAUUUAUCUCUCGCGUGUAAAAAUGUUUUGAAUUCUUGUGAGAAUUGGCAAAUAAAAUUGGGUCAUAUAAACUUUGUUGUUUUAAAUAAAAAUGUUGUUUCUAAUGCCUCUAUUUCAUGCUCUAUUUGCAAAUUGGCUAAAAGUAAAACAAUUCCUUUUCCGUUUGGUGUCUAUCGUGCUUCCACUUGUUUUGAGAUGACCCAUAUUGAUGUGUGGGAUAUCUCUUGUAGUUUCUCAUGCUCACUAUAAUAUUGUCACUUUUAUUGAUGAAUACAUUCGUUUUACUUGAAUAUAUUUUCUUCGGUCUAAAUAUGAAUUGUUUUCUAUGCUUAAGAAAUUUCUAACAUAUGUUGAAACUAAAUUUCAAGCAAGUGUUAAGUUUUUGUGUUAACUCUAGUGGUGAGUACAUGCCUCAUGAGUUUAAGGAGUAUCUUCAACAAAAUGGUAUCCUAUCCAAACAAUCUUGUCCCAAUACUCCCCAACCAAAUGGGAUGGCAGAACUCAAGAAUCACAUUUGCUUGAUGCAACGUGCACCUAGCUUACUUCUUCAAGCUUCUCUACCAUCCCAAUUUUGGGUGGAGGUUUUUUUCACAAUUAUUGAUCAAUCGCCUUCCAUCUACAAUUAUUGAUCUUGAUUGUCCUUUCUUCCAUCUUUUAAAACUCACUUAUUAAUUAAUUAGAGUGGUUUGCAUAAUUGAGUCACAUGGGACCCACAAAAUUUAUAUAGGACCCACAUGAUUUGGUGGGACCAAAAUGAAUUUUAACCAAUGAAAGAGAGUGUAUUAAAAAGUGUGUGUUGCUUGCUAGCAUUCCAUAUUUCAAUUCUAGUUUAUAAUAAUACAUUUAAAUUUGUACCAAAAAAAGAAAAUACAUUUAAAUAUAUGAAAUAUUAAUGUAUACUAAUAAGCUUAAAUAAUUUUACUAAAAAGGUUUACAAAUUUACAAUUUUUUUGAACAGGUACAAAUUUACAAUUAAAUAUAAUAUAAUAAUAAAUAAUUUUAUUUAUAUUUACUUAAAUAGGUCGGCCUAAUAGAUUCAAGAGGUUUUUUUUAAUGACAUGUGGCCUGACCUUUUAAGCUAAAUAAGAUUCUAAAAAAGUCUAAACUUUUUCUUUUUAAGAAAAAAGUCUAACCUAACCUAUUUCGAUCCGAGAUUCACCAACACGCCACUUGUGUAUUACCAAUCAUGAAAUGCACGUUUAUUCGACUUAUCACACUUGUUUGGAAUAGGCAAUAAAAAAAAAUGAAGAAACUUGAUGCACACGUAUCAUAAUUUAAUUUGCAAUAGGCAAUAAAAAAAGAAAGAAUAGUAUCAUCAUCCCCCUCUUAAAGUCUCAGCUUCUGUCGGUUUUGGUCAAGGAAGGUUAGUGAGAAGCAAGCUCACAACCAGAGAUGAGGUGGUGGAAGAAAAUGGUGUAUGCUUCACUCUCGCCAGCUUUAACUCCCAAAAGGCCAAAACGGUUUUCACCUUCCCAUUUUCCAGUAAGUGCCAACCAGUACUUCUCUUUCUUCUGCUGUUUCUAACUUUUAUGCAAGAAUUUCCCUAGCAAAUUGAAUUUCAGGCCUUCGCCCACUACAACAUCUAGUUUCUUAAAAAAAAUAAUAAUAUUUACAUCUAGUAACAAAAGAAAUAGGCUUCCAUAUUGAUAUAUGAAUAAAAAUACAUACACUUGAAAAGAUUAAUAGACAACGUAUAAUAUACAAGUAAAGAUAAAAGCGGCUAAAUUGUAUUUUUGGUCCCUUACAAACUUCGAUAACAAGAGUCCCAGAAAAAUUUCAGAAGAAAAUGAAGAAAACCUAACGUUUUUAAAUUAAAACUAACGGAAAUGACCAAAAUGUGUAACGGAAAGAAGUUAAGGGACCAAAAUAAAUCGAAUUUUAAUUAAGGGACCAAAACAAUACUCCCUAAAUAGUUAAGGGACAAAAAAUACAAUUUAGCCCACAUUUUAAUGUAUAAGUAAAAUAUAUAGAUGCAUAUAUAAAUUAAAAAAAAUAAGAACCCGUAUUUUUUUUUUAUGGUGACCGGGAUUUGAACUCCGAACCUUGCAUAUUUUAUGCAUCGUCCAUAUCAAUUGGCUAAGCUCACGAGGACUAUUAAUAUAUAAUUAAAAAUACAUAUACAUGUAUAAAUAAAAAAAAUAGAGUUAAAUAUAUUUUUAAUCCAUAUAAAUAUACCAACUUUUUAUUUUAUUCCCUCUAAUUUUUUUAUUAGACUUUUAGUCUCCCAAAAUUUUUUCAUCACCACUUUUAGUCCAUACUUUUUAGUCAACUCAUGUCUAACCUUCAUAUAUUUUAAUGAAAUUUUUCAUAAAUGGGUAGAAUAUUAUGACAAUCUCCCUCAUAUAUAUAUAUAUUUUUCAACAAAACUUGAAUUUUUUAUGUUUUUGGUGCUUAAAAAUUCAUAUUUAAUUCAUGUUUUGUUAAAAAAAAUUCUAAUUUUUUUGGGAGUGAUUGUCAUAAUAUUUUACAUAGUUCUGGAAAAUUUCAUUAAAAAAUAUGAAGGUUAGACAUGAGUUGACUAAAAAGUAGGGACCAAAAAUAAUAGUUCUAACAAAUUUUUUCAGAAGGACUAAAACGAAAAAUAUGUAUAUUUAUAAGAAAAAAAUAAGACACUCGUUAAUAUUUCCCUUAAAAUAACAACUUUAAAUAAGGAAUUUUUUUUUUCUGACCCCUUUGUCAAAAAAAAUUCCAUGUCUAACCCCCUAUGAAUAUUAUUCACCAAACUGACCCACUUUUUUUUUUUUUUUUUUUGUCCUUUUUCCAUUCCCGCCAUUUGAAAGCUCUGACACAUGUCAAAUCCUGACUGACCGACUGUUUUUUAUUUUUUUUCAUUACCGCCAUUUCAAAUGGCGGGACUGAAUUUUAAUUUUUUUUUUUCGUUUUUUGUUUUUUUGGGCAACAUAUAUAUACAUUAAAAACAUAAAUAAUAAUAAAUAAAAACAUAGUAAUGAUAAUGAUUACCGUACCAUUGAGUUAUCGGUUACGAUUGAAAACCGGGAGAUUCCACAACAUCAUCAAACACCGCAACCGCGUCAAAAAUCUCAAUUGUUUUCACAAACACAAUAUGCGUUUGAACCCCCAUCUUCAUCACAACAAUUACCGUACACCCAACUGUUCUCACAAACACAGUAUGAGUUUGAACCCCCAUCUUCAUCACAACAAUUACGGUACACCCAAUCGUUCUCACAAACACAACAAUUACCGUACACCCAACCGUUCUCACAAACACAAUAUAAAUUUGAACCCCAUCUUCAUCACAACAAUUACCGUACACCCAACCGUUCUCACAAACACAAUAUGAAUUUGAACCCUUAUCUUCACAACCACAACCACCACCGCAAACGCAACCACAAACACAAACCCGCCUAGAAGAUCUUUUCACUCGUCAGUUUGAAGAGAUCCCAGACAACAUUCAAGAACAAGAAGAAGAAGCUAGUAGUGAAAGUGACGAAGACGAGGCACUUCAGCAUGAUGCAGAUGAAGAAGACGAACACGAAAAUAGAUAUGAAGAAGAAGAUAUUUGGAGGAACAUUAUGUUUGGCACACAACCACAACCACCGCUACAGACAGUGCCGAUCAGAGCCUCUUACUGUCCCCCGCUGCAUAUGCGUAACGUUGACGUUGAUGCAUAUGAUGCUCUGCCUACCGACGAUCACUGGAAUACGAAUGUUCAUGUCGAUGGGGCUAUUGAGCAAGGAAUGACAUUUCACAGCAAAGAAGAUUGUUUGCAUGCAAUCAAGUCUUUCCACAUCCGACAAUCGCUGGAUUACGAUGUUAUACACUCAGAUCCAAGAAGAUAUGUCAUUCAAUGUACCCUCGAGACUUGUCUAUUUAAGUUGAGAGCUUCCUUUAGAAAAAGGAGUGGCAAAUGGAAGAUUGGAACCAUGAUGGGUCCACACAAUUGCACAUCGACUUUAAUGUCACAGGAUCAUCGCAAGCUCAACUACAAACUUAUAAGUCAAAGCAUCAAAACACUUUUGCAUGCAGAUGCCUCGGUAACGCCAAAAUUGAUCAUUGUGCACAUUAAAGAAAAGUUUAACUACACAACCACAUAUCGAAAGGCGUGGUUAGCAAAGAACGCUGUCAUCGAAUCUAUUUACGGGAAAUGGGAGGAAUCAUAUAAUGAUCUUCCGCAAUGGUUGAAUGUGAUGAAGGAGACAAUGCCAGGGACCGUCUUUGAUUUAAAAACGCAAAUUGGCGAGAAUGGAGAGACACAAUUUCAUCGUCUAUUUUGGGCCUUCUAUCCAUGCAUCCAUGUGUUUAAGUAUUGCAAACCAGUUGUCCAUGUCGACGGGACGUGGUUGUAUGGCAAGUACAAAGGGACAUUGUUGCUUGCGGUAGCACAAGAUGGAAACAACAAAACGAUUCCAAUCGCCUUUGCGCUUGUCGAAGGUGAGACAAAGGAGGGCUGGAGUUUUUUUUUUUGAAAAAUCUAAGAAGGCACGUCACAAAAGGAAUAUCUGUCUGCAUGGUCUCCGGCAUACAUGAAUCAAUUAAAAGCGCAUUCAAUGACCCAAGGAAUGGUUGGCAAGAAACUGAUUCAGCUCAUGUGUACUGCAUUCGACACAUUAAGCAGAAUUUCAUGAGGACAAUCAUGGAUGGAGAUCUUAAUGAUGUUGUAAAUAAUAUGGGUAAGGAUAUUAUGUUACAGUUUUUUUUUAUUUUAUUUUAUAUUGUGUUAUUAUUAAAUAGGUUCACUAUCUAACUAAUUGUUUUUUCUUAACGUGCAGGACAUGCCCUAAACGUAUCCUUGUUCGAUUACUAUCGUGGUGUAAUCCAGAAGGCAAAUCAGCGUGCAUUAGAUUGAGUGGACAAUAUUUCGAAAGAAAAAUGGACUCAAGCAUAUGAUGAGGGUCGACCAUGGGGCCACAUGACAAGCAACAUCGUUGAGUCGUGGAACUCUGUGUUUAAGGGAACACGCAACCUACCUGUUACACCUAUAGUUCAAUCAACCUACUAUAGGCUGGCAUGUCUCUUUGCUGAUAGAGCUCAAAAAGCGUUUGCAAGGGUAGGUUCCGGAGAUUUGUUCAGUGAAUAUUGCCAAAAUGCGAUUAAGGAUGACAUUGCUAAGUCCAACACCCAUCAUGUCGAACAGUUUGACCGAGAAAAGUAUACCUUCUCAGUCCGUGAGACCGUCAACUACAGGGAGGGAAGGCCAAUGGGAACUUUCAAGGUGGACCUACGAGCAGGGUGGUGUGAUUGUGGGAAAUUUCAAGCUUUACAUUUGCCUUGUUCCCAUGGCAUAGCCACGUGUUCUUCAUUUCGCCAUGACUACACAACCAUUAUUCCAGCUGUGUUAAAAAACGAGAGUGUUUACUCCAUCUACAACACAACCUUCAAAGUAGUCCAGGACAAGAGUUAUUGGCUCCCAUAUGACGGUCCCGUGCUUUGCCAUAAUCCAAACAUGCGAACACUAAAGAAAGGUCGACCCAAUAGUACCUGCAUAAGGACUGAAAUGGACGAGGAGGUGGUAGAGAGGACUCCAACACCGAGACAGUGUGGGUUGUGUCGGCAUAUCGGUCAUAUUAGGAGAAAUUGUCCGAGUAUAAAUAACCGGUAGUUAAUAACAUUAUGUAUUAUGUGUUCAAAUAAAUUAAUAUGUUUUUAUUUAUCAUUAUUAUUUGUGUUUUAAAUAAACAAAUGUUGCCAAAAAAACAAAAAACGAAAAAAAAUAAAUUAAAAUUCAGUCCCGCCGUUUGAAAUGGCGGUAAUGGAAAAAAAAAAAAACAAUCGGCCAGUCAUGAUUUGACAUGUGUCAAAGCGGCGGCUCAUUCCUGCUGUUUCAAAUGGCGGGAAUGGGGAAAAGGAUAAAAAAAAAGUGGGUCAUUUUGGUGAAUAAUAUUCAUAGGGGGUCAAACAUGGAUUUUUUUUGACAAGAGGGUCAGAAAAAAAAAUUCUUAAAUAAGACACUUGAGUCUCUAUCAAAUCUAAGAUGAUAUCAAAGCCUCUUUCAAGAUCUGUUGACCCAACAACUAUCAGAUCUUUGUCAUUGGGUCAUCCACCAUUUAUAUCCGCACACCAAACUAAGUAGUGAUGGGCGUGAGGGGGUGUGUUAAGAGUCCUACGUUAGAUAAAGAGAUGACGUGAGCAAUUGUUUACAAGUGAGGGAAAUGCUCACCUUAUAAACCGGUUUUGCAAGGAUGAUGUAAGUCCAAUAUAAAAUCUAAGAUUCUCUCUUUUGCUACAAAGUUUAUUUCGAUGCAGGCUUUUCAUUUCCCAAACACACCGUCUCAUUCAACAUCGCUAUUCUUAUAGUUGUAUGAUAAAAUCUUCCUUUAACUUGAGUGUGACAUUUGUAUUACAUAAAACACAUAUGCGACCCUCCUCGAUUUCAAUCACUAGCUUGAAUCUCAUGGUUUGCAUCUCCCUCGACUUCUCUGUCAUUUUAAAUGUUAAUGGACCCAAGAUAUUUAAGUUGUGUGACUUGUGGUAUAGUAUGAUCUCCAAUUUUUGCCUCUAAGCUAGAGGUGCUUUUCCUUUUUUUCUAACCUUACAUUCCAUAUAAUAUGUAUCACUUCUACUCGAACGAAAGUCAUAUGUUUCUUGCCGUGUGCUUGGUAGCAUGAUAGCAUUCCUCCGCUGCAUGUUUAAAUGUCAUUUCAUCUUAACUUUUACGAAGCUUUAGAUUUGAGCAUCAAAUGAGCAGAACUACUAUGAUUUUGCAUACUACCGAACACAUGCUAAAGCUAAUCUCGAACUAACCUCCAAUUUAUUUCCUCUCGAAUCAUUUUCAAAAAGCAUGCAUCACAGUGUUGGCUCUUGAGGUGCUCCACAAGUACAUUCAACACUAAUCUAAAAAAUAUACGUAAAACUGAUGCUUGGUGCAGUCCUACAAGAUUAGACAUUUAUAUAAAAUUUGUUUACAUUACAGUGUAUGUAGUUAUAAUUUUAAACGGAGUUUGGUUGGGGUAAUAAGAUUAUCUUACAGGAAAGAAGCACUGCACUACAAGAAUACGAGCAAGAGAAGAGCAUUGGGACAGUGAAUACUGCAUCAAUCACGAACAACACCGUUUUGUUCAGCAAUUCACCAGUGCUUCAGCAGAGUGGCCUACCUCCUCUAGUCAGUGCAUUGAAAGCCUCAGCUGAAGAAAAUGCUGCCAGCUUUCACUUUCCAGGACACAACAGAGGCCAUGCCGCUCCUUCUUCGUUGACUCAACUCAUUGGAGUAAGACCAUAUGCUCAUGAUUUGUCUAGCAUUCCAG
This 9931-nucleotide long non-coding RNA is filed under the name Medicago truncatula (barrel medic). RNAcentral's name for it is "long non-coding RNA (MTRU_LNC001965)". The record is from RNAcentral. Lineage: Eukaryota; Viridiplantae; Streptophyta; Magnoliopsida; Fabales; Fabaceae.